This 733-nucleotide long non-coding RNA is filed under the name Ricinus communis (castor bean). RNAcentral describes it as "long non-coding RNA (RCOM_LNC001768)". The record is from RNAcentral. Lineage: Eukaryota; Viridiplantae; Streptophyta; Magnoliopsida; Malpighiales; Euphorbiaceae.
CACCACAGGCUCCAAUUUCUCAGCUUUACCAUUUUCUUUAGGUAUGAUAAUGCCAUAUCCUCCUGCUUUUCUUUUAUAAAUAAUGUUUAUCUCACCUGGAACCAAACACAGAACAAUUUAACCCUCGUGUAAGUGAUUGCAAAUGCUUAGGUGCGAGAAAAAUUUAAAUGAGCAGCUUAAGUUCAUACCAGUCUCUUCAUUCCUGAAACCAUAGAAAUCAUGAUCAACAUUCUUUAGUUGCUCAAUAGCCUCAGAGACUGUCAAAGGUGGCAUGUCAAAAUAUUUUGUGCGAACAACCUGAAAAUCGGUUUACAAAGUGAGCCCAUCAUACAGAAUAUAUAAAAAUAUAAUGUCUACAUAUAUAUGGGAAGACCUAACCAUGACCAUGUAUAAAGUCACAUUCUUUAACUCAAAUCUAAACACCCAGAAACACAUGAAUGUUUCAUUAUGCUGAACUAUGAGCAACAAACUCCAUUUGAAAAUAAUUUUGGUACAACAAUUUCAUUAUUAUGCAGUAAAUAGAUGUUUGGGGUGAGAGAAUGCACAACUAUGAACAAAACACAAUCACCAAUACGGUGAAAGAGCAAAGCUCGUUUGUAGAUAUAACUUGAAUUUUGUCAACAGCAUCAGGAGUUAAUUAUAUGAAGCCAAUCACAUUAGCAGAUACCAAGUGAAGAUGCAUAUGGGAACACGAAAUCAACAUUAUUUUGACAAAGCAAAAGUUAGAUUUUAA